UACGAAGGGGGCUAGCGUUGCUCGGAAUCACUGGGCGUAAAGGGCGCGUAGGCGGACUUUUAAGUCGGGGGUGAAAGCCCAGGGCUCAACCCUGGAAUUGCCUUCGAUACUGAAGAUCUCGAGACCGGAAGAGGUAAGUGGAACUGCGAGUGUAGAGGUGAAAUUCGUAGAUAUUCGCAAGAACACCAGUGGCGAAGGCGGCUUACUGGUCCGGUUCUGACGCUGAGGCGCGAAAGCGUGGGGAGCAAACAGG
RNAcentral lists this ribosomal RNA (253 nucleotides) under uncultured bacterium. RNAcentral's name for it is "partial 16S ribosomal RNA". It matches the Rfam family "Bacterial small subunit ribosomal RNA", at positions 524 to 776 of the family's 1533-position model. The record is from RNAcentral.